GGCUUCUUCUGAUUCUGGAGACAUUUUCUGGGAGUCAAAGACAUCAUCCAAAAGAACAUGAAAGCCUUGUGUUUCUUCCUGUUUCUGGUGGCAGCUCCCAGAUGUGUCCUGUCUCAGUUGCAGCUGAAGGAGUCAGGACCUGGCCUGGUGAAGCCCUCACAGACCCUGCCCCUCACCUGCUCUGUCUCUGGAUCCUCUAUAACAAGCAAUGAUAUGAGCUGGAUCCGCCAGUCCCCAGGAAAGGGGCUGGAGUGGGUUGGAGUAAUAUGGAGUGGUGGAAGCACAAACUAUAACCCAACUCUUAAGUCACGACUCACCAUCACCAGAGACACCUCCAAGGAUGAAGUUUAUUUAAAGCUGAGCAGCCUGAUCCCCGAGGACACGGCCACAUAUUACUGUGCAAAAGACACAGUGAUGGGAAUUCAGUGUGAGCCCAGACAAAAACCUCCCCUGAGGGUGCAGGAGGGGCUGGGCUGCAGGGGGCACUUGUGA
Choloepus didactylus (southern two-toed sloth) is the source of this 492-nucleotide non-coding RNA. Lineage: Eukaryota; Metazoa; Chordata; Mammalia; Pilosa; Megalonychidae. The record is from the annotation of a RefSeq genome assembly.